GUAGUUGAUAAGAGAAUAAAAUUGAGUUUAAUUUCUACCAAAAUGAGAAACGUUUCGGAUCUACCAAAUUGUGUUAGUGUAUCUGUGUGGGAAUCUUCUCAGAAAUUAGUACAUGCAAUCGAUUGGAGUAGAGGAAACAGGAAUGAAGAACACAAGGACUCUGUAGUAUCGAUAUAGCAGCAAGGCAGUAAAGGAAACGACUUGGUAGAAGGGAACAUAUUUGCUUUUGGGCUCUUUGUGUCACCCAUAUCAACAUUUAGAAGAAUAAUCAGAAACCAAUCAAUGGUAAAAUGGGAAUGCCAACAAUAAAAUCAUAGCAAUGUACUUUCUAAAGAGUAUCAUCAAAACCAUGAAAAAAAAUCCAUCCGAAGGGGGAAUAUGGUAACCGAAUGCCUAAUUAGUAGGAGAUGAUCAAGGAAGUUGAUGUCGAUUCUUCAAAGAAGCAUUGAGCAGGAGAACAAUUAAUAGGAUGGUUGAAGGUAUGACACGUGGAAUGAAGGAGGUGUAGAAAGGGGACACGUGGCUCCUUAAAGAGUCUUUUAUUAGGAACAUAUAAUAUAUGAUCCAUAAUAAAUAUUAUUGAUUCAAAACCUAUUAUAAAUUAAAAUCCAUAAAAAAAUCAAACA
This is a long non-coding RNA of Lactuca sativa (garden lettuce), 626 nucleotides long. RefSeq lists it as uncharacterized. The record is from RefSeq and is a predicted model, not a curated record. NCBI's taxonomy places the organism in Eukaryota, Viridiplantae, Streptophyta, Magnoliopsida, Asterales, Asteraceae.